RNAcentral lists this unclassified non-coding RNA (192 nucleotides) under uncultured fungus. RNAcentral's name for it is "partial contains 5.8S ribosomal RNA, internal transcribed spacer 2, and large subunit ribosomal RNA". The record is from RNAcentral. Lineage: Eukaryota; Fungi.
AACGCAUAUGGCGCCUUGUGGGGCAACCCAGAAGGCAUGCCUGUUUGAGAAUCAUUUCAACAUUAAUUUUGAGCUUUCAUCAGUGAUUGCUUGCAAGCAACUCAGUGUUUGCUGUGUACAGGAGCAAUCCCAUGCAGCAACAAUACCUUUUAAUAUGAUCUCAAAUCAGGCAAGACUACCCGCUGAACUUAA